Long non-coding RNA from Ooceraea biroi (clonal raider ant), 961 nucleotides. RefSeq lists it as uncharacterized. The record is from RefSeq and is a predicted model, not a curated record. Lineage: Eukaryota; Metazoa; Arthropoda; Insecta; Hymenoptera; Formicidae.
ACCUGGGACUCACCAAUAGAGAAAGGUUGCCUUUACCAGACAGCGGAAAAGGGAAGAAAGGUAAAAAAGUGAAGGAGGAUGACAGCGAUUACGAGUGCGAAACGUGCAGAGCGAAUUUAUUCGUUUCGCUGGUAAAUAAUUCACAAGGACGAUAGUGUUUAUUGUUUGCCGCACGCGUUGCAAUUACUCAACCAAAAGAAGCAGGUCUUAAAGCAUUGCACUCUGAUGUAUACGUACGACGAAGAUGAAUUGGACGAAUUGAUUCACAAACUGGAACACAGGAUCGAAACCAAAUCUAAAAAAAACUAAUCAAAUAAAGCAAACUAAGUAAGAAAAAUAAGUCUGUUAUUUUGUUUAUAAAGGAUAAAAAGUUAUCGUUAUAUAUUUAUUCAACGCUAGGAUAAUUGUAUUAGGAAUAUUGUAUUGUGUCUCGCUUGUUAUAUUGUAAUAGGAGGAUAUAUAAAAUCUCGAUUUUUAUCUAGAAAAUGCGCAGUAGAUCAAUAUAUAAAUGUGUGAUUUUAUAAAUAAUAUUAUUUCUAUGAAAUAAUUGAUGUCUAUUAUGAUUUUGGAUAUUUCAAUUCAAUAUUUCGGUGUUAUAGUGUAUAUUAUCGAGACGAAUUUUACAUACAUUUUUGCAGUUCAUUUUUAAAAAAUAUCACAAUACCGAAUAUAUAUAUAUUAUAAUAAAUUUCCAAAGAAUUAUGAUGUUUAUAUCCAUUAUCAUAAUUUAGUUUUUACAAUUUACGAUGAUAAAUUGUGAUCACAUCUAUCUGUCUUGUCUAUUGACUAGAUUAGAUAGUAGAAUAUUAGAACUGAGUAAUUGCUUCAGAGUGAAAUAAUAUAUAUAUAAAAUUCUUUUAUAAUUAUAUAUUAUUAUUUAUCGAAGACAUGUUAUAUGUUUAAAAUAAAGCUUGACAAUAGCAAAUUAAGGGAAUAAAAUAAAAAAUUAUUGAUUAACACA